Molecule: non-coding RNA, 135 nt
Organism: Triticum aestivum (bread wheat)
Lineage: Eukaryota; Viridiplantae; Streptophyta; Magnoliopsida; Poales; Poaceae
Source: Rfam
GUAGUAUUCCCUCCGUCCCAAAAUUCUUGUCUUACAUUUUGUUAGAUACGGAUGUAUCUAACACUAAAAUGUAACUAGAUACAUCCGUAUUUAGACAAAUUUAAGACAAGAAUUUUGGGAAGGAGGGAGUACAAA